This 406-nucleotide ribosomal RNA is filed under the name uncultured bacterium. RNAcentral describes it as "partial 16S ribosomal RNA". It matches the Rfam family "Bacterial small subunit ribosomal RNA", at positions 30 to 526 of the family's 1533-position model. The record is from RNAcentral.
AUUGAACGCUGGCGGCAGGCCUAACACAUGCAAGUCGAACGAGUGGCGGACGGGUGAGUAAUGUCUGGGAAACUGCCUGAUGGAGGGGGAUAACUACUGGAAACGGUAGCUAAUACCGCAUACCAUCGGAUGUGCCCAGAUGGGAUUUGCUAGUAGGUGGGGUAACGGCUCACCUAGGCGACGAUCCCUAGCUGGUCUGAGAGGAUGACCCGCCACACUGGAACUGAGACACGGUACAGACUCCUACAGGAGGCAGCAGUGGGGAAUAUUGCACACUGGGCGCAAGCCUAAUGCAGCCAUGCCGCGUGUAUGAAGAAGGCCGUCGGGUUGUAAAGUACUGGCAGCGGGGAGACGUUACACGCAGAAGAAGCACCGGCUAACUCCGUGCCAGCAGCCGCGGUAAUAC